Molecule: non-coding RNA, 88 nt
Organism: Penaeus monodon (black tiger shrimp)
Lineage: Eukaryota; Metazoa; Arthropoda; Malacostraca; Decapoda; Penaeidae
Source: the annotation of a RefSeq genome assembly
GCCCAACUGAGCCUCGGGGGUCCGGGGUGCAGGCUUCAAACCUGUAGCUGACUAGCGUCAAGAGUGGUUCGACUCCAAAUGGUGGGCG